UGGCUAGGUAAGUCCCUUGUUAAAUCCACCGAAUUAAUCGUUGGAUCGCGGGGGAUACUGCUUGGCUAGGGGACGAGAGAGGCAGACGGUAUUUUCGGGGUAGGGGUGAGAUCCUAUAAUCCCGGGAAGACCACCAGUGGCGAAGGCUGUCUGCUAGAACGCGCCCGACGGUGAGGGAUGAAAGCUGGGGGAGCGAACCGGAUUAGAUACCCGGGUAGUCCCAGCUGUAAACGAUGCAGACUAGGUGUUUGGACGGCCACGUGCCGUUCUAGUGCCGCAGGGAAGCUGUUAAGUCUGCCGCCUGGGGAGUACGAUCGCAAGAUUGAAACUUAAAGGAAUUGGCGGGGGAGCACCACAAGGGGUGAAGCUUGCGGUUUAAUUGGAGUCAACGCCGGAAAUCUCACCGGGAGCGACAGCAGUAUGAAAGCCAGAUUGAAGGUCUUGCUAGACGAGCUGAGAGGAGGUGCAUGGCCGUCGCCAGUUCGUGCCGUGAGGUGUCCUGUUAAGUCAGGCAACGAUCGAGACCCGCGUCCUCUGUUGCUACCAGCUUUGAGCUGGGCACACUGAGGAGACCGCCACUGAUAAAGUGGAGGAAGGAGCGGGCCACGGCAGGU
This 614-nucleotide ribosomal RNA is filed under the name uncultured archaeon. Its description in RNAcentral is "bacterial SSU rRNA". It matches the Rfam family "Archaeal small subunit ribosomal RNA", at positions 526 to 1146 of the family's 1478-position model. The record is from RNAcentral.